ACUCAAAUGAAUUGACGGGGACCCGCACAAGCGGUGGAGCAUGUGGAUUAAUUCGAUGCAACGCGAAGAACCUUACCAAGGCUUGACAUCCCGACGAAUACGUUAGAGAUAACGUAGGCCCUCCGGGGACGUUGGAGACAGGUGGUGCAUGGUUGUCGUCAGCUCGUGUCGUGAGAUGUUGGGUUAAGUCCCGCAACGAGCGCAACCCCUAUCUUUAAUAGCCAUCGAGUAGAGUCGGGCACAUUAGAGAGACUGCCGUGGAUAACACGGAGGAAGGUGGGGACGAUGUCAAAUCAUCAUGCCCCUUAUGUCUUGGGCUUCACACGUGCUACAAUGGUUCCUACAGAGUGACGCAAAAUCGUGAGGUGGAGCAAAUCACAAAAAGGAAUCCCAGUUCGGAUUGCAGCCUGCAACUCGGCUGCAUGAAGUUGGAAUCGCUAGUAAUCGCGAAUCAUCACGUCGCGGUGAAUACGUUCCCGGGUCUUGUACACACCGCCCGU
RNAcentral lists this ribosomal RNA (500 nucleotides) under uncultured bacterium. Its description in RNAcentral is "bacterial SSU rRNA". It matches the Rfam family "Bacterial small subunit ribosomal RNA", at positions 899 to 1397 of the family's 1533-position model. The record is from RNAcentral.